UGUGAACGCUGGCGGUAGGCCUAACACAUGCAAGUCGAACGGCAGCACAGUAAGAGCUUGCUCUUACGGGUGGCGAGUGGCGGACGGGUGAGGAAUACAUCGGAAUCUACUUUUUCGUGGGGGAUAACGUAGGGAAACUUACGCUAAUACCGCAUACGACCUACGGGUGAAAGCAGGGGAUCUUCGGACCUUGCGCGAUUGAAUGGGCCGAUGUCGGAUUAGCUAGUUGGCGGGGUAAAGGCCCACCAAGGCGACGAUCCGUAGCUGGUCUGAGAGGAUGAUCAGCCACACUGGAACUGAGACACGGUCCAGACUCCUACGGGAGGCAGCAGUGGGGAAUAUUGGACAAUGGGCGCAAGCCUGAUCCAGCCAUACCGCGUGGGUGAAGAAGGCCUUCGGGUUGUAAAGCCCUUUUGUUGGGAAAGAAAAGCAGCAGGUUAAUACCCCGCUGUUCUGACGGUACCCAAAGAAUAAGCACCGGCUAACUUCGUG
Molecule: ribosomal RNA, 492 nt
Filed under: uncultured bacterium
Lineage: Bacteria
Description: partial 16S ribosomal RNA
Rfam family: Bacterial small subunit ribosomal RNA
Source: RNAcentral